AUGGAGGUGGUGUGUUGGAAUGUCCGAGGGCUGAACAGCCCUGACAAGAGAAAGGCGCUCCGGGAGUUCGCUGACACGGUGCAUGUCGCGAUAAUUUGUAUUCUCGAAACGAAACUAGAGGUUGUUAACCAGUACACUAUGUUGCAAUGCAUUGGGCCAUCGUAUGAUGGAUUUGCGUAUCUUCCGGCGUUGGCGACUAGAGGUGGAAUCUUCAUUGCG
Molecule: ribosomal RNA, 219 nt
Filed under: Triticum aestivum (bread wheat)
Lineage: Eukaryota; Viridiplantae; Streptophyta; Magnoliopsida; Poales; Poaceae
Description: partial small subunit ribosomal RNA
Source: RNAcentral